GAUCAUGGCUCAGGAUGAACGCUGGCGGCGUGCUUAACACAUGCAAGUCGAACGAAGCACUCUAAUUGAUUUCUUCGGAAUGAAGUUUUGUGACUGAGUGGCGGACGGGUGAGUAACGCGUGGGUAACCUGCCUCAUACAGGGGGAUAACAGUUGGAAACGACUGCUAAUACCGCAUAAGCGCACAGGACUGCAUGGUCUGGUGUGAAAAACUCCGGUGGUAUGAGAUGGACCCGCGUCUGAUUAGCUAGUUGGUGAGGUAACGGCCCACCAAGGCGACGAUCGGUAGCCGGACUGAGAGGUUGAACGGCCACAUUGGGACUGAGACACGGCCCAGACUCCUACGGGAGGCAGCAGUGGGGAAUAUUGCACAAUGGGGGAAACCCUGAUGCAGCGACGCCGCGUGGAGGAAGAAGGUCUUCGGAUUGUAAACUCCUGUUGUUGAGGAAGAUAAUGACGGUACUCAACAAGGAAGUGACGGCUAACUACGUG
RNAcentral lists this ribosomal RNA (491 nucleotides) under uncultured bacterium. RNAcentral describes it as "bacterial SSU rRNA". It matches the Rfam family "Bacterial small subunit ribosomal RNA", at positions 15 to 507 of the family's 1533-position model. The record is from RNAcentral.